UCCAAAGGGCUGGUCUCACUCCCACAGUGCCUCCCCUAACAGCACCAAAUCUGUUUCCAGGCAGUGGGCAAGCAGGGCUGAGAAUUGCCCCAGACUACCCACCUCCCAGCUGCAAAGGAAAAGGGCUCAGUUCUUCCCCCACCUGUGGAGUCUGCAUGCUGGAUUCCCGUUCUCCCCAGAGUUCUGGCCAGGAGGCUUCUUGCCUGGUUCAAAUUGUUAUGAAGUUCAGCUGGAGACUUCCUUCUCCCUGUGGCAUUUUCCCCACACCUCUAGCUGCCCUCCUGAAGGAUCCUGGUGGUGCCAGCCGUUCCUCCCCUUCACCUCCACCUGAUUAUUCAUGUCGUGAAGAAACUGGUCUACUUGUCCUGUAGAAUCGCCCGUAUUGUGGAUUUGGCCAUUGCUUCUACAUGAUGAUAAGAGAAUGUUACAUUAGCAGAGACAUCCAUUAAACAGGAGAGCUGAGGCCAUCUGACGCUGAGAAUCACAAUAACAGGGACAAAGCCAAAAGGGAAGGAAAAUGGGGGCCAAAAUGGUGAGGGGAGCCAAAAAGCGUGAGAAGAAGCACGCUCAGCCUCACUGGCUCCUGACUUCUCUCUGAGUGAGUUCCGGCUUUCUGCAUCUCCCCUCCUUGCCCUGGCACCUCGGCCUUCAGGCAGGAUGGUGGGGUGAAGCCAGCGAGGGAGGAAGGUGCCGGGGCAUCUCCCCCUCUGCCUGCACUGCUGGGCUAACACUUACAAAGGAAGAUUUGAAAAAGUCUCUGAAACUGCAGGCUCAAAGAAAGGACAAAUGCACUUCCAAUCAAAUCAGUGUUGAAGGGGCAGCAUCUUUAUCAUCUGCCAUCCUUAAGAUUCAUUUCACAUUCAAAUAAAUAGAAAACUACUUGCAAAGGCAAAUUAGACCCAGAUUUACCCGCAGGUGGCAUUUCAUGCCAUAACUUGAUGGCACUUCAUCAACAUCGGCUUUUCUGGGCUCACUGAUUAGUUCAUGCUGUAUGAAAAGUGCUUUACCAUAAUUUUUCAUUAUCUUCACAAGUUAUGCCAUUUGGAAUCAUGUAAGGUGGCUAAUGUUUCAGGGAUUCUUUUAAACACUUUACAAUAAGAGAUUCAAAGGCCAACUGCUGGUGACUCAGGGACCAUUAAGACAUCUGAGACAUGACCAUGAUUAAAGAUUAGUUGCGAUAGUUAUUUGGAUAUUAUAGAGUCUUUGAAAUAUAGAAACACUCACACAAACUAAUGACGAUGAGCAUCCGGGGCUUGGUGUUUCUCUGUGUCAGCUGCAGUAGAGGUGGGCGGCUCUCAAUUCAGGCUCACUCCAUGUCAGUUUCACAAGAAAACGCCAGUGCUGCCCCCAGCUCCCCUAGCUGCUAGGGCAGGUAUUUCUAUUUUCCAUGCAGCACAGAAGAGGGGGCCUUACCACAGACACCAGGAAGAAUAAUGUCAAACCCAUAGCAAUCCAAACCUGGGAGAAGCUUGAAAACUGAGGAUUGGUCUUGUCAAUCCUACUGGCGGGUCUUGCCAGUUUUAAAAAAUGAAAUACAACAGAAUGCAACAGAAUGGGAAACAAUCAGAGCACAUUAAAAGAAUAAGUACUACUUUGUGAUACUUUUCAGUUAUGUAUGUGGGUAUCAGUGUGUACUGAGGGUUGAUGAGAAAUGUAUUUUUAAAAUGUGAGUCAAGUUAAAAGACCUCAAAGAAUGAUGCUCUAAGAAAUUAUAUACUGGAGACAGUCACGAUUAUAUAUUGGAUGACGAAAAACAAAAUAAAAAUUAAAAAUUAGAAAUUUAUAAUUUACCCCUGGAA
RNAcentral lists this long non-coding RNA (1799 nucleotides) under Homo sapiens (human). RNAcentral's name for it is "HSALNT0341688". The record is from RNAcentral. Lineage: Eukaryota; Metazoa; Chordata; Mammalia; Primates; Hominidae.